AAGAAAUUUGUGUGUCCCCUCCUUUCCUUCCCCCAUCCCACCUCCCCCAUGGGGGUCAGCCCAAUUUUGGGGGGUUAAUUUGAAUUUUGGGGGUCUCAGCCCCAUUUUGGGGGAUAAAUUUGGAUUUUGGGGUCUCAGCCCCAUUUUAGGGGUUAAUUUGGGUUUUGGGGGCUCAGCCCAGGUUCAGUCCUGGCUUUGGGCUCUGGGGGUGCCCCGGGUGGGGCUGCACCCCCAAAAUGGGCUGGAAGGGCCAAAUUUGGGAUUUUUUUCCCCAAAAUGGGC
This 282-nucleotide long non-coding RNA is filed under the name Zonotrichia albicollis (white-throated sparrow). Its description in RNAcentral is "lncRNA (ENSZALG00000000908.1)". Lineage: Eukaryota; Metazoa; Chordata; Aves; Passeriformes; Passerellidae. The record is from RNAcentral.